Molecule: transfer RNA, 74 nt
Filed under: Bacillota bacterium
Lineage: Bacteria; Bacillati; Bacillota
Also listed under: 1 other name
Description: tRNA-Gln
Rfam family: tRNA
About the family: Transfer RNA (tRNA) molecules are approximately 80 nucleotides in length.
Source: RNAcentral
UGCGGGAUGGUGUAGCGGUAGCACGGAUGACUCUGGAUCAUCAAGCCUAGGUUCGAUCCCUAGUCCCGCAGCCA